This 365-nucleotide long non-coding RNA is filed under the name Androctonus crassicauda. Lineage: Eukaryota; Metazoa; Arthropoda; Arachnida; Scorpiones; Buthidae. The record is from RNAcentral.
CGAAAAUAAUUUUAUGGUUGGGGGUCACCACAAUAUGAGGAACUGUAUUAAAGGGUCAUGGCAUUAGGAAGGUUGAGAACCACUGCUCUAGAUCAAGACCACUUCAAGGGUGGGUAUUUUAGAGUCGCAGCAAAAAUACAUAUAAAGUUUUCAGACUUUUGUUGAUUAAUCAAAAUGAUAUUAUAGUUGCACCAACAUGAUGUCAUCAUUAUACAACAAUGGAUGAUGUCACUGAUAUUAUUGUUGUAUAAUAAUAAUAUGAUGGAACAGUGAGUGGUGCCAACAUUUUUAUCAAUAUAUUGAUGUCACUCUGACAUUGUUAUUGUCCCGAAACAAAUUCUGGAAUAAUGUCUGGUACUAUUAGC